CCUACGGGAGGCAGCAGUGAGGAAUAUUGGACAAUGGGCGCAAGCCUGAUCCAGCCAUGCCGCGUGCAGGAAGACGGUCCUAUGGAUUGUAAACUGCUUUUGUACAGGAAGAAACACUCCCUCGUGAGGGAGCUUGACGGUACUGUAAGAAUAAGGAUCGGCUAACUCCGUGCCAGCAGCCGCGGUAAUACGGAGGAUCCAAGCGUUAUCCGGAAUCAUUGGGUUUAAAGGGUCCGUAGGCGGUUUAAUAAGUCAGUGGUGAAAUCUGGUCGCUCAACGAUCAAACGGCCAUUGAUACUGUUAGACUUGAAUUAUUAGGAAGUAACUAGAAUAUGUAGUGUAGCGGUGAAAUGCUUAGAUAUUACAUGGAAUACCAAUUGCGGAGGCAGGUUACUACUAAUGGAUUGACGCUGAUGGACGAAAGCGUGGGGAGCGAACAGGAUUAGAUACCCUGGUAGUCCACGCCGUAAACGAUGGAUACUAGCUGUUCGGAGCAAUCUGAGUGGCUAAGCGAAAGUGAUAAGUAUCCCACCUGGGGAGUACGUUCGCAAGAAUGAAACUCAAAUGAAAUUGACGGCUGAGACGAGCGACGGACGACGACGAGGGAGGAGG
RNAcentral lists this ribosomal RNA (612 nucleotides) under uncultured bacterium. RNAcentral's name for it is "bacterial SSU rRNA". It matches the Rfam family "Bacterial small subunit ribosomal RNA", at positions 338 to 954 of the family's 1533-position model. The record is from RNAcentral.